This 253-nucleotide ribosomal RNA is filed under the name uncultured bacterium. RNAcentral describes it as "partial 16S ribosomal RNA". It matches the Rfam family "Bacterial small subunit ribosomal RNA", at positions 524 to 776 of the family's 1533-position model. The record is from RNAcentral.
GACGUAGGGCGCGAGCGUUGUCCGGAUUUAUUGGGCGUAAAGAGCUCGUAGGCGGCCUGUCGCGUCGUCCGUGAAAACCCACGGCUCAACUGUGGGCUUGCGGUCGAUACGGGCAGGCUGGAGUUCGGUAGGGGAGACUGGAAUUCCUGGUGUAGCGGUGAAAUGCGCAGAUAUCAGGAGGAACACCGGUGGCGAAGGCGGGUCUCUGGGCCUUACCUGACGCUGAGGAGCGAAAGCGUGGGGAGCGAACAGG